UUAAGUUCAGCGGGUAUUCCUACCUGAUCCGAGGUCAACCUUGAUAAAUUUUCCCAAUGAAGGGAGAAGACCGGGGCCUGGGUUCCCUUGAUCCGAUACGUGCUCAGUUAAGAAGCUCAAUGUACCGGGGGUUCCAACAGGCCGCCGUCAUUGUCUUUAGGAGGGGUGAUCGCCCGGAGGCCUUCCACCAAACCGUCCAA
This 200-nucleotide unclassified non-coding RNA is filed under the name Capronia sp. RNAcentral describes it as "partial internal transcribed spacer 2". Lineage: Eukaryota; Fungi; Ascomycota; Eurotiomycetes; Chaetothyriales; Herpotrichiellaceae. The record is from RNAcentral.